UCUGAGUGUAGUGUUGGAAGCUGCGAAAAAAAUGGAUGUGAAUUCGAUGGAGGUGGAAGUAAUUCCCAUUUACCCAUAAUAUAUUGAAAACUAUAUCGAAGAGUAUUCAGAAGAUAUUGAUUACGCUAAUGAAUGUAAAAAUAAGAAAAGGAUUGGAACGGGAAUUGAGUGUGUGCAUCAAUCGAAUCAAUCAAUAACAAAUAGUAUGAUAUAUAAACGUAAUGAUAAAAAGAAUUAUUUUUUAUUAGUUUUAUUAAAAUUUUAGGUGAUUGUGCAAAAACUUCCACCGCAAAUAAAAUCGAAUCCAUAUUUUCAGGGAAUAUAUGUAUAUAUAGAAUAGAGAACAACAAUUCAUUUUCAAUUUUAGAAUUUAUUCAAAAAAACUCUACGGAUCUCAUAAACGUAUGGAAAAAUGCAAUAAUAUCACAUAAAGCUAUAAAAACUUCAUUAGAUUUAGUAACUGUUUAUAAAAAAAUUAAUAUUAAUAGGGAUGAUGUAGAGAUACCUACUAUAACUCAAAAUCUAUCUAUCCCACCAUUUAUUUUAAUGCAAUCCAGUAGUAUUCCAGAGUGGGUUACUACUAUUACACAUCUACUGCAA
Daktulosphaira vitifoliae (grape phylloxera) is the source of this 600-nucleotide long non-coding RNA. RefSeq lists it as uncharacterized. NCBI's taxonomy places the organism in Eukaryota, Metazoa, Arthropoda, Insecta, Hemiptera, Phylloxeridae. The record is from RefSeq and is a predicted model, not a curated record. The transcript has 3 exons.